RNAcentral lists this unclassified non-coding RNA (1132 nucleotides) under Leishmania donovani. RNAcentral's name for it is "gene:LdHU3.33.0710(CDS-product:hypothetical_prote in_conserved)". Lineage: Eukaryota; Euglenozoa; Kinetoplastea; Trypanosomatida; Trypanosomatidae. The record is from RNAcentral.
AAAGAACUGCAGCGUUCACUGGUUUACUCAAGGGACGCCGGCAGGCCGAUAUAGCAGGACCAAAGACCCCGCGCCUUCCCCGGUCAUCCCUAACCCCCCCCCCCACAAGCGAACGAACAAACGAGGUCAGCCGCUCUUCUGUUUUCCGAGUACUUUGCACGCAGGCACGAAGGCGGGUAGCUCCUGCACUUAUCCUCAGGCCAUUCACAUAAACCCUCAUUCCCCCGGCCCUUGCUCCACCGCUAUCUGCUCUCCUGGGUGCGCGCAUCUGUGUCGUUGGCUUGUCAUUCCUUCGCUGUCUCCCCCCUCUCUCUCGCCACGUCGCUGCAGAUGCUCGAGAAGGUGGUGCCGAUCCCAUUCUUGGGCAAAGAGGUGUCCGGCUGGCUCUACCGCACCACGCGGUGGACGCGCGAGCACCCGUACAGGGCGACCGCCAUCCUAGCCGCCUGCAUCGGUGGCUCCAUACUCUACGAAGCUCAGGUGACGCACAAGAAUCGCAUGCCGUCCCCCAACGUCAACAAUCACCUCGAGUAUCAGCUAAAGGAGGCGUCGCUGUGGGAGCGGUGGUUUCGCCGUGCCAGCACCACCCAGCAAGACAUGAAGGCUGAGGAAGUGGCGGCGCUCGAGAAUGCCGGUGACAUGCUUACGCCAGAGGAAAUAACGCGGCGGCAGCGGUUGUCGCAACGCACCAUCGCCGAUGCCGAGCGGCUGCUCGCGACAACCACGGACGCUGCAGAACGUCAGUCCUUGGAGAAGGUCAUUGAGCGCGAGAAGGAGUUGAUGAAGGGUGUCAACAACACCACAAUGCUGGUGCGCAGCGGCCAACUGGAAGUGCGUGCCCCACACUGGGAGAUUCGCAACAACGAGCGCAACUGGAGCAUCCUGUCGCGUGACCAGCAGCAGCAGAAGGACCACUACUGGUAUCGCCUCGAGCGCAGCCGCGAGGACGACUUUGCGCGCAACACCUACUCCACGCCCUAAGCGGGUCAUGCGAGGAGGGGGAGGGGGAGGUUGAUGUGUCUGCGUGCGUUCUUUGUGUGUGCCACCAUGAGGUUGCAUUUGAUGCGGCUGUGGCUGUGUGGUGGCAGCCUCCUUCCUGGCUGCUGCUUCACAGCGCGAUAACUCUACAAGC